GGGGGUGCACCGGUUUCGACGGAAUCGAGAAAUCUUGUGUUGCAAGUAGGAGUGAAGGUUCCUUAAACUGACAAAAAAAUAACUGCAAAACGUAAAGAAGAAGAUUCUAACGAAGAACAGUUCGCAAUGGCAGCUUAGUUUGCCUUGCAGGACCCCGGCGGCUCUGUUCCGCGUUGCCGGCCCGUCUUUUACCCAUCGGGACUUGCUUCUUAAAGUUUCUGGUAUUUAGGAAGGACAUUUAAUCAGAAUACGGAGGCGACGCUUGUUAUGCUGCUACCGGCUCCCGACAACCACUUCGCAUAACUAAACUUGUAGAGGCACCUGGUUUACCUUUUCGGACGGGGGUUCAAUUCCCCCCAUCUCCACUA
Molecule: non-coding RNA, 368 nt
Organism: Treponema sp. JC4
Lineage: Bacteria; Pseudomonadati; Spirochaetota; Spirochaetia; Treponematales; Treponemataceae
Source: Rfam